GAAGCUUCGGCAAUGGGGGAAACCCUGACCGAGCGACGCCGCGUGCGCGAUGAAGGCCCUUGUGGUUGUAAAGCGCUGUCAGGAGGGGAUAACUCGCAGAGGUGAAUAUCCUCUGUGUCUGAAGGUACCUCCAAAGGAAGCUCCGGCUAACUCCGUGCCAGCAGCCGCGGUAAUACGGAGGGAGCGAACGUUGUUCGGAUUUACUGGGUGUAAAGGGUGCGUAGGCGGCCCUGUGUGUCGGAGGUGAAAUCCAGCGGCUCAACCGCUGGCCUGCCCCCGAAACUGCAGGGCUUGAGUCCGUGAGAGGAAGGCGGAAUUCCUGGUGUAACGGUGAAAUGUGCAGAUAUCAGGAAGAACACCCGUAGCGAAGGCGGCCUUCUGGUGCGGAACUGACGCUGAGGCACGAAAGCUAGGGUAUCGAACGGG
Molecule: ribosomal RNA, 426 nt
Filed under: uncultured bacterium
Lineage: Bacteria
Description: bacterial SSU rRNA
Rfam family: Bacterial small subunit ribosomal RNA
Source: RNAcentral